AUCCAGAUGACAAGUCCCAAAUAGGACGAAACUCGCGUCAUACUAGAU
RNAcentral lists this non-coding RNA (48 nucleotides) under Schistosoma mansoni. The record is from RNAcentral. Lineage: Eukaryota; Metazoa; Platyhelminthes; Trematoda; Strigeidida; Schistosomatidae.